AAAAACACAGAAGAAGAAAAGUUUGAACAACGCAGCAAGGCGGGAAGCAGCAGACAGUAGGGUUGCAGAAACUACCUACGCAGCAGCAAUCAGGCUCACUGGACUUACUUUUCAGAUCAGUUUAUGCCUUUGCAUCUUGCUGUUUCAGUUUCAAGAAGUUAAGGAAGAUAACUGGAGAUGUGAUAACGAUACCAGAAGACUGAGAAGAAACUGCCCCUCAUUAGAAAGAUGAUGGAGACCACAUUUCCCCUACGCCGACAGACCAUAGUGAUGUCCUGCCCACCAGUGAACGACCUCAUGGACCUCUGGCCUGCUCUCAAAAUAGAGUCUGAGUUGUAUGCAGAGUUCCAGCGGAUUACAAAUCAGAACCUGCCCAACC
This is a long non-coding RNA of Perca fluviatilis (European perch), 379 nucleotides long. RefSeq lists it as uncharacterized. NCBI's taxonomy places the organism in Eukaryota, Metazoa, Chordata, Actinopteri, Perciformes, Percidae. The record is from RefSeq and is a predicted model, not a curated record. The transcript is spliced from 4 exons.